CAGAGAACGUCAUGGUCGGCUAGUCAAUAUCUACAAAGUAGCGCUGUCUGUCUGUUUGCCUGUCUAUCUUUCUAUCAUUUCUUACAUCAAACUAUGAUACCAUUUUGCAAAGAACUACAGUGAUACAACUAGACUAAUGUUCAUUAAAAGCUAAAAUUACAGCAAACUAAAACACUUAUGUUUAUCUAAGACUAAUAAUGAGGAAAAAAUUGCGUGCAGAGAGAGUCAGGCCUCUCAGACCAACCGACGGUCAGAUGAACUUAGCGUUGAAGAGAACUGUUUACUGUGGGGAACACGUGUGAUAAUACCGCAAAAAUUACAGUCAAGAGUUCUAGCAGAUCUUCAUGAAAAUCACCUAGGUUCAAAUCGAAUGAAAGCAUUAGCUAGAUCGUAUAUCUGGUGGCCGAGUUUGGACAUGACGUUGGAAGAAUUGUGCAAGAAAUGUGAAAUUUGCCAAAGUCAGAGGAAUAAACCGCCUGCUGGUAUUCCUCAUCCAUGGAUGUAUCCCACAGCACCUUGGGAGAGAGUUCACGCAGAUUUCACGGAUUUGGAAGGUCAACAUUAUCUUAUUAUGAUUGACGCUUAUUCGAAGUGGUUGGAGGUGCAUGAAAUGGGCACUAGUACAACGGCUAGUAGGACAAUAGAUGUGAUGAGGCUAGUUUUUAGUUUUCAUGGCAUUCCAAGACGAUUGGUGACAGAUAAUGGUCCACAAUUCAGGUCAGUAGAAUUUCAGAAGUUUAUGAAAGGAAAUGGUGUCAAACACCAACUCACUCCUCCGUAUCACCCAUCAAGCAAUGGACAAGCAGAACGAGCAGUUCAAAUCUUCAAGAGAUCUAUGGAGGCAUGACCUAAAGGACGUACUAUUCGACAUCAAAUAUCUAUACUACUGCUGCAGUAUAGGUCGACUCCAAAUACCUCAACAGGUAAAACGCCAUCCGAAUUGCUAAUGAAGAGAGUCUUAUGAACAAGACUAAGCCUUGUUAGACCUACAGUUGGAGGAGAGAUUCGAGACAGACAGGAGAGCCAAACAGAAGCUGCAUCCAGAAAUCGGGAGAUGUUACCUGGAGAAUCAGUGGCAGUAUGGAACCCAAGACAAGAUAGUCGGGGACGGUGGCUCUCUGGAACAGUAGUUCAGAAACUGGGACCGAGCAACUAUCUUGUAAACGUGAAUGGUCAGGCUAGGUAUGUUCAUGUAGACCAUAUAUUACAUCGUGAUAUCAGAAGUUUUCCACAGGAUGUACAUCAGGAGCAAACUUCCAAUACUCAUGAUUGUACAGUGACUAUGAUUACACCACAAGCUGGAAGCUAUUUCGAAGUCAGUGCUGAGAAGAUAAUCUCAUCAACAGACUCUACCAGGGAAGACUCAGUACCAACUACUCCUAGCCACCCUGAGUUAACAGAAAGACAGUCAGAACAGACUGAUAACAUGCCAACAAAGAAACCAAUUGAGAAGUCAGCAGAGAGAGAAAAUCGAAGAUAUCCCACAAGGAACAAUAGAAGACCCCCAAGAGAUAUCGAGAGAUUUAGUGGAAGGGAGUGUAGUAGAGUAUGGGACUAUGGGACUAUCCCUAGUACUCAUUAGCAUACUGAUAGAAUAUGACACUAUAUAGUACUGUGGCAUGUGAUUAGCCAGCUUUGGGUAGUCUGGUGUAGUAUUGCAUACACACUGUAAGUGAGCUGCAAUAGAACCAAUAUAUAGUCGGUAACGACACAACAAUGACGAAAAAACAUGUUCAGUUGGUGUUGAAAGAUGUAAUGACAGUUACUGUAAUUACAAUGGACAUUGUGUGAAGGAAGGCAACACAAAUAAAUGUUUAUGUCGUAGUGACUGCACUGGAUCUCAAUGCACUGACAUUGUUCGCAAGACUCUGUCUUGUCCCAGCACUCGAUGCCACAGCCGUGGACGAUGUUAAAUCUCAGUAGAAGGUCAAUACUGCAUUUGUAAUGAUAGUUACUCUGGUGUUUACUGUGAGUCCGAUAUCUCUCCCAUCACUUCUCCAUUUGAUAAUUCUACAACCACAUCUCCUGCACCACCUUGGUAAUGUCAGUCAGAGCAAAGGAAACAAUGCAGUAGCCAUUUCUGUAGGAGGUGCCAUCGGUGGUCUAGUGGUUGUCGCAAUUAUUAUCAUUCUUGUUAUUCUCUUGGUAAAGAAUGUGAGAGGCAAGCUGUUGAUUAACUUUGAUAAUCCCAUGUACCAUUCUGACUCUAGCUCAGUUGUUAUCCCACCAAAGGCAGGAGUUGAAGAGGUCAACCACAGUAAAGAGGUCAAUGGCACGCAUACAGCUCCAGCUACUUCCACUUCUGUCUGAUGAAUCCUUGAGAGAAUAGUUUUGUUCCUUUGGUAGUCUAGUGUUGUUGACCUUGAUAACAUUGAGUUUACCAAUCAUCAUCAUCAUCAUCAUCAUCAUCUGAUCACGUGACGUCAAUACUAAACAAGCAAUUUCGUUUGCCAUCUAGAUUAGCAUAGUUCUUUUGACUGCAUGUAAGAUACAUGAAUUAGUACAUAAUAGGACACACAAGUUACCUUAAUUGUAGAAAAAUGAAUGUUAGAGAAAGAAAUUGAUAUUAUUGUGUGAAAGACAUCUAUUUUUAAUAAAAUUAAAAUAAU
Molecule: RNA transcript, 2609 nt
Organism: Corticium candelabrum
Lineage: Eukaryota; Metazoa; Porifera; Homoscleromorpha; Homosclerophorida; Plakinidae
Exons: 6
Source: RefSeq, a predicted model, not a curated record